RNAcentral lists this transfer RNA (64 nucleotides) under Streptococcus pneumoniae GA04216. RNAcentral's name for it is "partial tRNA-Gly". It matches the Rfam family "tRNA", at positions 9 to 71 of the family's 71-position model. Rfam says of the family: Transfer RNA (tRNA) molecules are approximately 80 nucleotides in length. Lineage: Bacteria; Bacillati; Bacillota; Bacilli; Lactobacillales; Streptococcaceae. The record is from RNAcentral.
AGUUCAGUGGUAGAACACCACCUUGCCAAGGUGGGGGUCGCGGGUUCGAAUCCCGUCGUUCGCU